This 57-nucleotide transfer RNA is filed under the name Ictidomys tridecemlineatus (thirteen-lined ground squirrel). RNAcentral's name for it is "Spermophilus tridecemlineatus (thirteen-lined ground squirrel) tRNA". It matches the Rfam family "tRNA", at positions 8 to 63 of the family's 71-position model. Rfam says of the family: Transfer RNA (tRNA) molecules are approximately 80 nucleotides in length. Their secondary structure includes four short double-helical elements and three loops (D, anti-codon, and T loops). The record is from Rfam by way of RNAcentral. Lineage: Eukaryota; Metazoa; Chordata; Mammalia; Rodentia; Sciuridae.
UAACUCAGUGGUAGAGCACUUGCCUAGUACGCAAGAGGCCCUGAGUUUGAUCCCCAG